GCGCAGCCUCUCUAGAUCUGCGAGGCGCAGCCCCUCUAGAUCUGCGAGGCGCAGCCCCUCUAGUUCUGCGAUGCAGCCCCUCUGUCAGCGAGGCGCAGCUCCUCUAGAUUUGCGAGGCGCAGCCCCUCUAGAUCUGCUCGACGUAACCUCUAAACUUGCGAGGAUUUUCGUCAUGUAAAGCUCAUAAAUAGGCCUCAGCGUUUAUGAAUCGUUAGAAAUAACGAGACUAAGGCAAAAAAUUGUCUAAAAGAAAGUUAUUAAUCGGGACUAAGAUUCUGUGACGGAAUUUGAACAUUUUUUCCAAGCAGUUAUGAAACUUUUGAGACAGAUAACGAGAUAUACCAUUUGUAAGGGAAAUUCACCUUAUUCCGGCUGUUGGAAGAAUUAUGUUUGUGAUCAAUUAGUUUUGGCGACUUUAGUGUCUCUAUUAGGCUAUGCCUAUAAGGUUGGCUACACGGCCACACGCGUGACGUGGCCGCCCCGAUAUUGGGGCCCGCUUUAGUGCUGGGUUCAGUUAUUCGCCAGGACUCAGUCGGAGCUUACCUACCGUCACUGCUAACUAGUGUACUUGUAGCGUUUCUAUUAGGACCGAUCUCUUGCCUGGCCAGCGGGAACGGCUCCUAUUUAGGCCGACACUGGCGGUGUUGCGUCACCUAAGUAUCCGCAUAUUCGAGCCCCUAUUGCUGAUGUGCACCUCAGCUGCUGCUGUGCACCUCGACUGCUGCUGUGCACCUCGUCUGCUGCAGUGCCUCCGUACUGUGUGCCCCUACUACUCUACCUACCGUCGGGCCCCGUAUCCCGUGGUCCACUCCACCUUCCGUCAUUUAGAUUAGGAUUGAUUGUUUCAAUAUUUAUUUUCGUGUUUAAAGUGUUCCGCUAGUUAUUUUCGUGUUAGUGUUUUCGCUAGUUAGUUCCACUAUGUGUUUUCGUUGUUAGUGUUCGUUUUAGUAAAUUUAAGGGUAUUUGGUUUUCAUUUCCUUCGUUGAGGUUCGGUGGCAGCUUAGGGUUAAUUCUUAGGGCCCAAUUGGAGUCGGUCCUGCUCUCAAUUCCUUUACACCAUUAAUAUAUUACGUUACGGAACAAAAAAUCAUAACGAAUAUGCAGAUGAAGGAUCCUCAAGGUAAACCCAUUAUAAUUAUUAAUGGGCAGAUGGCGGACAUGGCGGCCAUUUGGCUGCCAAUACAGCUUGGUCGUUACGAGAGGAUGUUAUUAGGAAUUUAAACUUGAUUUGCUACACAAAAUAGAUUUUCCAAGUUAGAAACGAAAGUAAAGCGAGAAUAUUAUAUCUAGUAAAUGUGUGAUUGAAG
Long non-coding RNA from Hyalella azteca, 1307 nucleotides. RefSeq lists it as uncharacterized. NCBI's taxonomy places the organism in Eukaryota, Metazoa, Arthropoda, Malacostraca, Amphipoda, Hyalellidae. The record is from RefSeq and is a predicted model, not a curated record. The transcript is spliced from 2 exons.